CAACAAAGCAUCAAGAAUUUUACUUUUGAAUUAACUCAGUUUCUUAUUUUCAACAGAAAUAUAUCCAUGCGCAUUUAAACAGAAACAUUUGUUUAAAUUUGUAGAAGUGACAAUUUCACAGUUNNNNNNNNNNCUAUUGCUUUUAAAGAUCCAAGAACGUUCAGAAACUUAACCUUGUUUCUCUUUCAAGUUGGAAUAAUUCUGACUUCAUUUUUUCAUCAAACUUGAAUCCUGCCAUCUCUGCUUCGUUCCAGAUCUCCUUACACUUUGCCACCCUCCCAGAAACCAUGUAAACUGUAAUCAAGGCCCUAUAUAUGUCAUAAGUUGGAGAGAAACCUGCUUCCUUAAGUUUUGAAAAAUAUCUUACUGCCCUUGAGAGAUCAUUCAAGGCAACAAACAGCUUGAUAACAACGCGGUAAGCAGGAAGAUCAAGGACACAAUUUGAUCCCUCCAUUUCCCAAACCACAGUCAAUGCCUGCCGGUAUUUCUUCUCAGAAUAAAAGCUGUGAAUCAGAGUAGUGUACAUAACAACAGUUGGCUCGCGUCCUGAUAGUUGAAACCAAUGGAACAGCCUGUUCACUAGCUCAAAUUUUUUAAGCCUAAUGCAAACUUUCAUUAUAGCUGUGCAAUCCUGAUGGCUUAGAUUCAAAUUCUCUCUUUGCCCAAGCUCGUAAAACAACUGCUCCACAAGCAUGUGUUUAUCAGGGUUCUUUCCAAGCUCCAGUAUAAAUUUUGCAUAUACGCUGGGGUCUAACAAUCUUUUGUCCUGCGUGGCGACCGACAGAAGGUUCCAAGCCAGCUUUAAGCUUCUACCUCGAAUGAAGCCCCUAAUCAUUGCUUCAAUUACACCCCGACUUGCCAAACUAGUGAACUUCUGUAUGUCAAAUGGAACUUUCAAGUCUUGAUUCCUUGCCAAAACCUCUACAGUGGAAGCCAAAAUCCGAUCAUCAGGGAAAAGUUGGGGUUGUUUCUGAGCCCAACAGAAGGUCUGUAGAGCUCGCUCGGGAAGACCCAUAUGACCCAACUCUCGAAUCGUUAAUGACA
RNAcentral lists this unclassified non-coding RNA (1044 nucleotides) under Hevea brasiliensis (rubber tree). Lineage: Eukaryota; Viridiplantae; Streptophyta; Magnoliopsida; Malpighiales; Euphorbiaceae. The record is from RNAcentral.